GCCAGACUCCUACGGGAGGCAGCAGUCGGGAAUAUUGCGCAAUGGAGGAAACUCUGACGCAGUGACGCCGCGUAUAGGAAGAAGGUUUUCGGAUUGUAAACUAUUGUCCACAGGGAAGAUAAAAGACUGUACCUGUGAAGAAAGCUCCGGCUAACUACGUGCCAGCAGCCGCGGUAAUACGUAGGGAGCAAGCGUUAUCCGGAAUUAUUGGGUGUAAAGGGUGCGUAGGCGGAAUAUCAAGUCAGCGGUAAAAAUUCGGGGCUCAACCCCGUCGUGCCGUUGAAACUGAUGUUCUUGAGUGGGCGAGAAGUAUGCGGAAUGCGUGGUGUAGCGGUGAAAUGCAUAGAUAUCACGCAGAACUCCGAUUGCGAAGGCAGCUUACUAAACUGUGACUGACAUUGAUGCUCGAAAGUGUGGGUAUCAAACAGGAUUAGAUACCCGAGUAU
RNAcentral lists this ribosomal RNA (446 nucleotides) under uncultured bacterium. RNAcentral describes it as "bacterial SSU rRNA". It matches the Rfam family "Bacterial small subunit ribosomal RNA", at positions 330 to 793 of the family's 1533-position model. The record is from RNAcentral.